GGAUAACUAGCUAGAUAAGCUACCAGGGAUAAGGAUGAGAGGGAGUGGAGCCUGACUGCAGCGUCCGAUGUUUUGUGUGCGCGUCGGAUGGCCGUUCAAUAUCAUUACUGCUCUUCAACUCUCUACUUUGAUUGAUUCCAGUCUCCUAACUCUGUAGGUUGGAAUGAGUUGUGACCAUCAUCUUCACUUCAUCUUCUCAAGGAUACACACAAAAGAUACCAAACUGGCAUUAAAGACACUAACCUAAUUUCGCUGCUUAAACUUUGAACAAUUUAUUUUAUGCACUUUCGAACUACUGUGAUG
RNAcentral lists this long non-coding RNA (303 nucleotides) under Setaria viridis. RNAcentral's name for it is "long non-coding RNA (SVIR_LNC007057)". Lineage: Eukaryota; Viridiplantae; Streptophyta; Magnoliopsida; Poales; Poaceae. The record is from RNAcentral.